This 254-nucleotide ribosomal RNA is filed under the name uncultured bacterium. RNAcentral describes it as "partial 16S ribosomal RNA". It matches the Rfam family "Bacterial small subunit ribosomal RNA", at positions 524 to 776 of the family's 1533-position model. The record is from RNAcentral.
UACGGGGGGAGCAAGCGUUGUUCGGAUUUACUGGGCGUAAAGGGCGCGUAGGCGGCCACCGCAAGUCGACUGUGAAAUCUCCGGGCUUAACCCGGAAAGGUCAGCCGAUACUGCGGGGCUAGAGUGCAGAAGGGGCAACUGGAAUUCUCGGUGUAGCGGUGAAAUGCGUAGAUAUCUGGAGGAACACCGGUGGCGAAGGCGGCAUCCUGGACCAAUACUGACGCUGAGGAGCGAAAGCCAGGGGAGCAAACGGG